UAAGAACUGACCAAAGGAUCGGCUCUCAACGGUAGUGCAUUGAUGUCAGAGGCUCGAUGGUUAAUAAUGUGAGGGGCAAGGGUAAAGAUCUAUCAGACCUAACAUAUGUAAAAUAUUAAAAGCAUGCAAGAUCUACAAGCUGAUACGAUCUAAUAACUGUGAAUGUUUAAACGAGGCAAGGGAGCCGAUCAAGGCAACCUAAUCAGAUCUAAAGCGUUCGAUAACUAUGAGUGACCGUCGAAGACAAGUAGAAUAUUGGUCAAAGCCUAGGAACUUCUACUUGCUAAUAUAACUCAAUAACUAGGCAUACAACCAAAUAUCGGAAUAUGAGACCUAACUCAGAAAGUUC
RNAcentral lists this long non-coding RNA (349 nucleotides) under Setaria viridis. RNAcentral's name for it is "long non-coding RNA (SVIR_LNC003391)". The record is from RNAcentral. Lineage: Eukaryota; Viridiplantae; Streptophyta; Magnoliopsida; Poales; Poaceae.